UAGGGAAUCUUCCGCAAUGGACGAAAGUCUGACGGAGCAACGCCGCGUGAGUGAAGAAGGAUUUCGGUUCGUAAAACUCUGUUGUUAGGGAAGAAAAAAUGUAUAGUAACUAUAUACAAAAGAGACGGUACCUAACCAGAAAGCCACGGCUAACUACGUGCCAGCAGCCGCGGUAAUACGUAGGUGGCAAGCGUUGUCCGGAAUUAUUGGGCGUAAAGCGCGCGCAGGUGGUUUAGAAAGUCUGAUGUGAAAGCCCACGGCUCAACCGUGGAGGGUCAUUGGAAACUAAUAAACUUGAGUGCAGGAGAGAAAAGUGGAAUUCCUAGUGUAGCGGUGAAAUGCGUGGAGAUUAGGAGGAACACCGGUGGCGAAAGCGGCUUUUUGGCCUGCAACUGACACUGAGGCGCGAAAGCGUGGGGAGCAAACAGG
This 429-nucleotide ribosomal RNA is filed under the name Verrucomicrobiota bacterium. RNAcentral describes it as "Verrucomicrobia bacterium partial 16S ribosomal RNA". It matches the Rfam family "Bacterial small subunit ribosomal RNA", at positions 355 to 776 of the family's 1533-position model. Lineage: Bacteria; Pseudomonadati; Verrucomicrobiota. The record is from RNAcentral.